RNAcentral lists this transfer RNA (72 nucleotides) under Ovis aries (sheep). It matches the Rfam family "tRNA". From Rfam's summary of the family: Transfer RNA (tRNA) molecules are approximately 80 nucleotides in length. Their secondary structure includes four short double-helical elements and three loops (D, anti-codon, and T loops). Further hydrogen bonds mediate the characteristic L-shaped molecular structure. tRNAs have two regions of fundamental functional importance: the anti-codon, which is responsible for specific mRNA codon recognition, and the 3' end, to which the tRNAs corresponding amino acid is attached (by aminoacyl-tRNA synthetases). tRNAs cope with the degeneracy of the genetic code in two manners: having more than one tRNA (with a specific anti-codon) for a particular amino acid; and 'wobble' base-pairing, i.e. permitting non-standard base-pairing at the 3rd anti-codon position. Lineage: Eukaryota; Metazoa; Chordata; Mammalia; Artiodactyla; Bovidae. The record is from Rfam by way of RNAcentral.
UCCCUGGUGGCUCAGAUGGUAAAGAAUCUGCCUACAAGGCAGGAGACCCAGGUUCGAUUCCUGGGUGAGGAA